UGAGGAAUAUUGGUCAAUGGACGGAAGUCUGAACCAGCCAAGUAGCGUGCAGGAUGACGGCCCUAUGGGUUGUAAACUGCUUUUGUAUGGGGAUAAAGUUAGGGACGUGUCCCUAUUUGCAGGUACCAUAUGAAUAAGGACCGGCUAAUUCCGUGCCAGCAGCCGCGGUAAUACGGAAGGUUCAGGCGUUAUCCGGAUUUAUUGGGUUUAAAGGGAGCGUAGGCCGGAGAUUAAGUGUGUUGUGAAAUGUAGACGCUCAACGUCUGACUUGCAGCGCAUACUGGUUUCCUUGAGUACGCACAACGUUGGCGGAAUUCGUCGUGUAGCGGUGAAAUGCUUAGAUAUGACGAAGAACUCCGAUUGCGAAGGCAGCUGACGGGAGCGCAACUGACGCUUAAGCUCGAAGGUGCGGGUAUCAAACAGGAUUAGAUACCCUGGUAGUCCGCACAGUAAACGAUGGAUGCCCGCUGUUGGUACCUGGUAUCAGCGGCUAAGCGAAAGCAUUAAGCAUCCCACCUGGGGAGUACGCCGGCAACGGUG
RNAcentral lists this ribosomal RNA (540 nucleotides) under uncultured bacterium. RNAcentral's name for it is "bacterial SSU rRNA". It matches the Rfam family "Bacterial small subunit ribosomal RNA", at positions 355 to 896 of the family's 1533-position model. The record is from RNAcentral.